This 468-nucleotide ribosomal RNA is filed under the name uncultured bacterium. RNAcentral describes it as "partial 16S ribosomal RNA". It matches the Rfam family "Bacterial small subunit ribosomal RNA", at positions 28 to 507 of the family's 1533-position model. The record is from RNAcentral.
GACGAACGCUGGCGGCGUGCUUAACACAUGCAAGUCGAACGGAAAGGCCCUGCUUUUGUGGGGUGCUCGAGUGGCGAACGGGUGAGUAACACGUGAGUAACCUGCCCUUGACUUUGGGAUAACUUCAGGAAACUGGGGCUAAUACCGGAUAGGAGCUCCUGCUGCACGGUGGGGGUUGGAAAGUUUCGGCGGUUGGGGAUGGACUCGCGGCUUAUCAGCUUGUUGGUGGGGUAGUGGCUUACCAAGGCUUUGACGGGUAGCCGGCCUGAGAGGGUGACCGGCCACAUUGGGACUGAGAUACGGCCCAGACUCCUACGGGAGGCAGCAGUGGGGAAUAUUGCACAAUGGGCGGAAGCCUGAUGCAGCAACGCCGCGUGCGGGAUGACGGCCUUCGGGUUGUAAACCGCUUUCGCCUGUGACGAAGCGUGAGUGACGGUAAUGGGUAAAGAAGCACCGGCCAACUACGUG